GGUAAACCCUACCAUUUGCCGGAACCCAGAAACAGAGGAAAAAUAAUGCUUUCGUCUAGAAUCUUGAACAACAUUUCCAAGAGAAAGCCUAGCUCCUCCUCCUUCUCAUUGGGGUAUGGUUACCCCGAGAGUCACUUAGUUUUACGGCAGCACCGUUCGAUCUUCACCACGUCGCCUGUCCAUGCCUCAUGGAUGGACUCGAUCAAAGGAGUCUUCACCGGGAAGAAGACCUCCACGGAUGACUCCAAAACCAGUGCUGAAUCCUUCACUCUCCUCCGAUUUGCUGAUGAGUUGAAGAAUGCUAGAAAAUUAGGGACAUUUAAGCAAUACAUAGUCGGUAGAAGCAGCGAAGCCACGUUUGCUGAUGCUUUCGAGAAACAAGAAGCCAUCAUUAGGUAUCUUGGAGGUUGUGAUCCGACCGGAGAGAAUGUUCAAACAAGUCAAAAAAAAGAAGCUGCGAAGCAAUGUGAUUGUACAAUAGCAGAUGUUGAGAAUGCGCUUGCAAAGUUUACUUGGGCUAAAGAAGCACAUAAGAAGAUGGCUAAGUUGAAAGCGGAAGGGAAACCGAUGCCGAAGAGCAUUGCUGAGGUGCAAAAGCUAAUGGGUUCAACACCAUUGGAUCUUGCCAGGUCUAACUUGGCAAAGAGUGGGCAAAUAAGCAGGAAUGCACUUUGUCCAUGUGGUUCAAAGAAGAGAUAUAAAAGGUGUUGUGGCAAGGAUCAAUAGAUUCAAAAAGAAAAUGGAUGAGAAUCCUACACCAGCCUUGAAUCCUCAAACUGGUAGAAUCUGCAUGCAGUUGCAAAUGACAUCAUUUCAUGGCUCUCUUGGUUCAUUUUUCUCAAUCGGACAACAUUGCCUGAUCAAAAGAUGAGAAAAUGGUGUCUAUGGCAGAAGGAAAGGAAUGCCACAAAGCUGGGGAUCGCAAUGGAAGUAAUCUUUGUCAAGAAGAUUGCAAGAGCAAGUACAAUAUCAAUGUUUGACAUGUCUGAUAUUAGUUUCCAUAUGAACUAACUUGAGACUUGAACAAAUGAAAAAGUUCUAUCUUUAAAUGGAUUCUUUUCAAAUGCUAAUGGGGUUGCACUUAAAGGCAAAGGGAUUAAGGAAACUUAUUAACAUGACCAAAUUGGAAGGGAUUUAAGUUGAAAAUUUGUGGAUUCCUCUCUCCCCAACUGACUUUUCUUUGGAAUCUCUUAAAGUCAUCAAAUGCUUUC
Molecule: RNA transcript, 1211 nt
Organism: Theobroma umbraticum
Lineage: Eukaryota; Viridiplantae; Streptophyta; Magnoliopsida; Malvales; Malvaceae
Gene name: SEC-C motif protein
Source: RefSeq, a predicted model, not a curated record